RNAcentral lists this ribosomal RNA (118 nucleotides) under Jaculus jaculus (lesser Egyptian jerboa). The record is from RNAcentral. Lineage: Eukaryota; Metazoa; Chordata; Mammalia; Rodentia; Dipodidae.
GUCAAUGGCCGUACCACCCCGAACAGGUCUGAUCUCAUCUGAUUGCAGAAGCUAAGCAGGGUUAGGCCUGGUUAGUACUUGGACGGAAGAACUUCUGUCUAUCAAGUGGCUGCUCCCU